This 268-nucleotide ribosomal RNA is filed under the name uncultured bacterium. RNAcentral describes it as "partial 16S ribosomal RNA". It matches the Rfam family "Bacterial small subunit ribosomal RNA", at positions 30 to 298 of the family's 1533-position model. The record is from RNAcentral.
AUUGAACGCUGGCGGCAUGCCUUACACAUGCAAGUCGAACGGCAGCACGGGGGCAACCCUGGUGGCGAGUGGCGAACGGGUGAGUAACAUAUCGGAACAUACCCUAGAGUGGGGGAUAACGUAGCGAAAGUUACGCUAAUACCGCAUACGAUCUAAGGAUGAAAGUGGGGGAUCUUCGGACCUCAUGCUCAUGGAGUGGCCGAUAUCUGAUUAGCUAGUUGGUGAGGUAAAGGCUCACCAAGGCGACGAUCAGUAGCUGGUUUGAGAG